Molecule: ribosomal RNA, 678 nt
Filed under: uncultured Bacteroidales bacterium
Lineage: Bacteria; Pseudomonadati; Bacteroidota; Bacteroidia; Bacteroidales
Description: bacterial SSU rRNA
Rfam family: Bacterial small subunit ribosomal RNA
Source: RNAcentral
UCGAGGGGCAGCACAGGUAGCAAUACCGGGUGGCGACCGGCGCACGGGUGAGUAACGCGUAUGCAACUUACCUAUCAGAGGGGGAUAACCCGGCGAAAGUCGGACUAAUACCGCAUGAAGCAGGGGCCCCGCAUGGGGAUAUUUGCUAAAGAUUCAUCGCUGAUAGAUAGGCAUGCGUUCCAUUAGGCAGUUGGCGGGGUAACGGCCCACCAAACCGACGAUGGAUAGGGGUUCUGAGAGGAAGGUCCCCCACAUUGGUACUGAGACACGGACCAAACUCCUACGGGAGGCAGCAGUGAGGAAUAUUGGUCAAUGGCCGAGAGGCUGAACCAGCCAAGUCGCGUGAGGGAUGAAGGUUCUAUGGAUCGUAAACCCCUUUUAUAAGGGAAUAAAGUGCGGGACGUGUCCCGUUUUGUAUGUACCUUAUGAAUAAGGAUCGGCUAACUCCGUGCCAGCAGCCGCGGUAAUACGGAGGAUCCGAGCGUUAUCCGGAUUUAUUGGGUUUAAAGGGUGCGUAGGCGGCCUUUUAAGUCAGCGGUGAAAGUCUGUGGCUCAACCAUAGAAUUGCCGUUGAAACUGGGGGGCUUGAGUAUGUUUGAGGCAGGCGGAAUGCGUGGUGUAGCGGUGAAAUGCAUAGAUAUCACGCAGAACCCCGAUUGCGAAGGCAGCCUGCCAAGC